GUAGGGGGCAAGCGUUAUCCGGAUUUACUGGGUGUAAAGGGAGCGUAGGCGGCUGGGCAAGUCAGAAGUGAAAGCCCGGGGCUCAACCCCGGGACUGCUUUUGAAACUGUCCAGCUAGAGUGUCGGAGGGGUAGGCGGAAUUCCUAGUGUAGCGGUGAAAUGCGUAGAUAUUAGGAGGAACACCAGUGGCGAAGGCGGCCUACUGGACGAUGACUGACGCUGAGGCUCGAAAGCGUGGGGAGCAAA
This 246-nucleotide ribosomal RNA is filed under the name uncultured bacterium. Its description in RNAcentral is "partial 16S ribosomal RNA". It matches the Rfam family "Bacterial small subunit ribosomal RNA", at positions 527 to 772 of the family's 1533-position model. The record is from RNAcentral.